UCGCCUGUUUUUUCAAAAACAUGUCCUUUUGUAUUUAAUUUAAGGUCUGACCUGCCCAGUGAUUUUAAUUUAACGGCCGCGGUAUACUGACCGUGCAAAGGUAGCAUAAUCAUUAGUCUUUUAAUAGAGGGCUGGAAUGAAAGGUUUAACGAGGAAUAAGCUGUCUCAUUUUAUUUGUUUUAAAAUUUAAUUUCUUAGUUAAAAAGCUAAGAUAAUAUUGGAAGACGAGAAGACCCUAUAGAUCUUUAUAUAAUUUUUUUAAUUUAAAAUUAUAUUAUUUUAAUUAUAUAUUAUUAUAUUUUGUUGGGGUGACAAAAAUAUAUAAAUAACUUUUUUAUUUCAAAAACAUUGAUUAAUGAUUAAAUGAUCCAAUAAUAUUGAUUACUAGAUUAAGUUACCUUAGGGAUAACAGCGUAAUCCUCCUUGGAAGUUCUUAUUUACAGGAUGGGCUUGCGACCUCGAUGUUGGAUUAAGAUAAUAGCUAGGUGUAGCCGCUUAGUUUAUAGGUCUGUUCGACCUUUAAAUUCUUACAUGAUCUGAGUUCAGACCGGUUUAAGCCAGGUCGGUUUCUA
RNAcentral lists this ribosomal RNA (572 nucleotides) under Brachythemis contaminata. Its description in RNAcentral is "partial large subunit ribosomal RNA". It matches the Rfam family "Bacterial large subunit ribosomal RNA", at positions 1796 to 2640 of the family's 2925-position model. The record is from RNAcentral. Lineage: Eukaryota; Metazoa; Arthropoda; Insecta; Odonata; Libellulidae.